AUCGUUCUCUAAUCGUAAUCUCUCAGAGUGAUCGUAGCUUUUGUACGGUUUACACCGCUCGUGAACGCUAUACUACGUGUUGUUACGCUUUGUUUUAUUUCAAUUCACAAUACUGAAAAGUUAUAGAGGUGUGAUCCUAUAGUCUCGCGGGUGUCAUAGCGAAGCGUUGUUGUGUUUGUCAUCGACGUGUUAGGGAGGAAAACGCUUCCUGGUAAUAAAUCGUCGAAUAAUUGUUCAGCAACGCGGUUUUGUACACCAACUGGAAUUCAUCAAUAGCGGUGGUCUAGUCGUCGAUCUGGUUUUUCACGCUAUAGGCUAUUUCAUAAGUACAGGCUGUUUCAGAAGAGGCGAACAUAAAAUUUGAAGCUAAGUUCAGUAUACAGAGAUUGGACAGACAGAUCCGAGAAGAUACCACAAGAAAGAUGUUGCGAUUCUUUCUUUUUUCUCUUGCUAUCUUCAUGCUUGUUGCACUGACGCAUCUCUCUCAGGGAGAGACGACAACAGAGCUGCCCUUCCUCGUGCAAAGAAUCAAGAAAAACAUCAAAACGCAAAUGAAAAUCCAGAUCGAUACAGGGAAUUCGGGAUUUAAAACCAUUUCUAAUCCACCCACAGGCGCGGCUACAAAGAUGCGUACUACAACUAUGGAACCACAACCGCUUAAUGCUUUGCAAAGCUUCAUUGAAGCACCCAACAGAUGUCUACCCGGUUCUGACUUCAUACGUGGAAGCUGUCGCAUAAGAAUUAAUUGAAAUGAAACAUGUAAAAUCGAGAUUUGGAAAUUUCCUAUAUAUCAUACAAUAUAUUCAUAAGAAAUUCUAA
Bombus terrestris (buff-tailed bumblebee) is the source of this 819-nucleotide long non-coding RNA. RefSeq lists it as uncharacterized. NCBI's taxonomy places the organism in Eukaryota, Metazoa, Arthropoda, Insecta, Hymenoptera, Apidae. The record is from RefSeq and is a predicted model, not a curated record. The transcript is spliced from 3 exons.